AUUGAACGCUGGCGGCAGGCCUAACACAUGCAAGUCGAGCGGUAGCACAGAGAGCUUGCUCUCGGGUGACGAGCGGCGGACGGGUGAGUAAUGUCUGGGAAACUGCCUGAUGGAGGGGGAUAACUACUGGAAACGGUAGCUAAUACCGCAUAAUGUCGCAAGACCAAAGUGGGGGACCUUCGGGCCUCAUGCCAUCAGAUGUGCCCAGAUGGGAUUAGCUAGUAGGUGGGGUAAUGGCUCACCUAGGCGACGAUCCCUAGCUGGUCUGAGAGGAUGACCAGCCACACUGGAACUGAGACACGGUCCAGACUCCUACGGGAGGCAGCAGUGGGGAAUAUUGCACAAUGGGCGCAAGCCUGAUGCAGCCAUGCCGCGUGUGUGAAGAAGGCCUUCGGGUUGUAAAGCACUUUCAGCGGGGAGGAAGGCGUUAAGGUUAAUAACCUUGGCGAUUGACGUUACCCGCAGAAGAAGCACCGGCUAACUCCGUGCCAGCAGCCGCGGUAAUACGGAGGGUGCAAGCGUUAAUCGGAAUUACUGGGCGUAAAGCGCACGCAGGCGGUCUGUCAAGUCGGAUGUGAAAUCCCCGGGCUCAACCUGGGAACUGCAUUCGAAACUGGCAGGCUAGAGUCUUGUAGAGGGGGGUAGAAUUCCAGGUGUAGCGGUGAAAUGCGUAGAGAUCUGGAGGAAUACCGGUGGCGAAGGCGGCCCCCUGGACAAAGACUGACGCUCAGGUGCGAAAGCGUGGGGAGCAAACAGGAUUAGAUACCCUGGUAGUCCACGCCGUAAACGAUGUCGAUUUGGAGGUUGUGCCCUUGAGGCGUGGCUUCCGGAGCUAACGCGUUAAAUCGACCGCCUGGGGAGUACGGCCGCAAGGUUAAAACUCAAAUGAAUUGACGGGGGCCCGCACAAGCGGUGGAGCAUGUGGUUUAAUUCGAUGCAACGCGAAGAACCUUACCUGGUCUUGACAUCCACAGAACUUAGCAGAGAUGCUUUGGUGCCUUCGGGAACUGUGAGACAGGUGCUGCAUGGCUGUCGUCAGCUCGUGUUGUGAAAUGUUGGGUUAAGUCCCGCAACGAGCGCAACCCUUAUCCUUUGUUGCCAGCGGUUAGGCCGGGAACUCAAAGGAGACUGCCAGUGAUAAACUGGAGGAAGGUGGGGAUGACGUCAAGUCAUCAUGGCCCUUACGACCAGGGCUACACACGUGCUACAAUGGCAUAUACAAAGAGAAGCGACCUCGCGAGAGCAAGCGGACCUCAUAAAGUAUGUCGUAGUCCGGAUUGGAGUCUGCAACUCGACUCCAUGAAGUCGGAAUCGCUAGUAAUCGUAGAUCAGAAUGCUACGGUGAAUACGUUCCCGGGCCUUGUACACACCGCCCGUCACACCAUGGGAGUGGGUUGCAAAAGAAGUAGGUAGCUUAACCUUCGGGAGGGCGCUUACCACUUUGUGAUUCAUGACUGGGGUGA
Molecule: ribosomal RNA, 1463 nt
Filed under: uncultured Klebsiella sp.
Lineage: Bacteria; Pseudomonadati; Pseudomonadota; Gammaproteobacteria; Enterobacterales; Enterobacteriaceae
Description: bacterial SSU rRNA
Rfam family: Bacterial small subunit ribosomal RNA
Source: RNAcentral